GUCCUGUUGCAGACCAAUCAAACCCACCUCUUGCUUUUCUCUUUUGGCAAGUAUUCACCAAAAUUGCAUUAUUGAUAGGGCAAUGAAUGAAUGACACCAUCACUAUUGUUACGCGCUGAGCUUUUUCCUUUUUCUUUUACGUAUAUCUUUCUUCUUUUUUCUGUUUUCUUUUCCAAAAGGUUGACUGAUUAUAACGAAAUAGUUUCUUUCCACAUGCUGCUGCUGGAUAAGGAAUCUCAUCAAUGGCGAAAGGAAGAAUAACAUCCCUUCCUUCCCACACUCAUUGAAUAACAUUACUUUCUUCUUGUCUUUUCUAUCUUCCUUGUGAUUCUUCCUUGCUGUGGCGCUUCUCUUCUGUUUGCUAACAUCUCUCUGCUACUUCAUCCUACUGCUGAAUUUCUAAAUAAUACACUUCUUUUCUUUUUAUGCAAGGCAAAGUAAAAAAUACAGGGUGAGUACAGAAGUGUAAUGUAACAAAGUAGCGGGUAUUAAAAAAAAAAUGCAAACGUGAGAGAGGAAACAAACACAGGAAGGAAUGCAGGCCUAAUCAGUAAUCACUCGGGGACCAAAUGAGACACAGGAAGGAAGAUGCCACCAUAUUUGCAUAUCUUGCAGCUUAACAGAGGAUCCAUUUAAAGGCUUGGAACUAGUGGAAUUUGGUGGGUGUAACACUACGGCUCAUGUGUCCAUGCGUCUUAAUUUAAUUGCUCAUGUGUUGCGAGUGUAAUUACCGAAUUGCCUUCCCUUAAUGUCAUUAUGUACAUUGAGCUUAAUUCUCUACUCCUUAAGGCCCGAAUUCGUUGGGUCUUGGGAUUUACUUCUUGACCCAAGAUGUU
Molecule: long non-coding RNA, 836 nt
Organism: Quercus lobata
Lineage: Eukaryota; Viridiplantae; Streptophyta; Magnoliopsida; Fagales; Fagaceae
Exons: 3
Source: RefSeq, a predicted model, not a curated record